Molecule: ribosomal RNA, 484 nt
Filed under: uncultured bacterium
Lineage: Bacteria
Description: partial 16S ribosomal RNA
Rfam family: Bacterial small subunit ribosomal RNA
Source: RNAcentral
AUUGAACGCUGGCGGCAGGCCUAACGCAUGCAAGUCGAGCGGAUGAAGGGAGCUUGCUCCUGGAUUCAGCGGCGGACGGGUGAGUAAUGCCCAGGAAUCUGCCUGGCAGUGGGGGAUAACGUCCGGAAACGGGCGCUAAUACCGCAUACGUCCUGAGGGAGAAAGUGGGGGAUCUUCGGACCUCACGCUAUCAGAUGAGCCUAGGUCGGAUUAGCUAGUUGGUGGGGUAAAGGCCUACCUAGGCGACGAUCCGUAACUGGUCUGAGAGGAUGAUCAGUCACACUGGAACUGAGACACGGUCCAGACUCCUACGGGAGGCAGCAGUGGGGAAUAUUGGGCAAUGGGCGAAAGCCUGAUCCAGCCAUGCCGCGUGUGUGAAGAAGGUCUUCGGAUUGUAAAGCACUUUUAGUUGGGAGGAAGAGCAGUAAGUUAAUACGUUGCUGUUUUGACGGUACCAACAGAAUAAGCACCGGCUAACUUCGUG